UACGUAGGAUGCAAGCGUUGUCCGGAAUUAUUGGGCGUAAAGAGCUCGUAGGCGGUUUGUCGCGUCUGCCGUGAAAGUCCGGGGCUCAACUCCGGAUCUGCGGUGGGUACGGGCAGACUAGAGUGAUGUAGGGGAGACUGGAAUUCCUGGUGUAGCGGUGAAAUGCGCAGAUAUCAGGAGGAACACCGAUGGCGAAGGCAGGUCUCUGGCAUUAACUGACGCUGAGGAGCGAAAGCAUGGGGAGCGAACAGG
RNAcentral lists this ribosomal RNA (252 nucleotides) under uncultured bacterium. Its description in RNAcentral is "partial 16S ribosomal RNA". It matches the Rfam family "Bacterial small subunit ribosomal RNA", at positions 524 to 776 of the family's 1533-position model. The record is from RNAcentral.